This 253-nucleotide ribosomal RNA is filed under the name uncultured bacterium. RNAcentral describes it as "partial 16S ribosomal RNA". It matches the Rfam family "Bacterial small subunit ribosomal RNA", at positions 524 to 776 of the family's 1533-position model. The record is from RNAcentral.
UACGGGGGGAGCAAGCGUUGUUCGGAUUUACUGGGCGUAAAGGGCGCGUAGGCGGCGUAACAAGUCACUUGUGAAAUCUCCGGGCUUAACCCGGAGCGGCCAAGUGAUACUGUUGUGCUAGAGUGCGGAAGAGGCGAGUGGAAUUCCCGGUGUAGCGGUGAAAUGCGCAGAUAUCGGGAGGAACACCAAUGGCGAAGGCAGCUCGCUGGGACGGUACUGACGCUGAGGCGCGAAAGCGUGGGGAGCAAACAGG